UUUCCUAGGUAUUGUUCAGGUUGUCUCCAAUUCAGUGGGGCUUAUGUUGAGCGGUUGGUUGCAAUGGUUGGGAGCAGUGAUGGUAUCUCCUUUAGGCAAGCCAAACUAAUAUACUCUUCCUGAAGGUACAGACUGAUAGAAAUAAACGGAUGAUUUUCAAGGUGUUAAAACCAGAAGGAACCUGUUGGCACAGAAAGCCAGAUAGAUGUCUAAAUAGGAGUUGAAGAACAAGGUGUAGGUAUAACCAACUGUAAUCAUGAGGAAGAGAUCACUUUGGUCUCAGCACAUCUGCUGCACGUUGAAACGCUUCCCCGCGCCUCUGAGGUUGAAAGGGAAGAUGUGAGGGAUGUUUUCCCCUGCUAUUCCUCUUGCUUGGCUCGGAGUCCCACUGAGCGAUGGGAGUCGAGUACCGGUGGCUGAGAUGCAAGCAAAUAAAGUCCACUGGCAAAGUGGUAGCAGGCUGCAUGGGAGGCCAGUUUUACCCUAAAUCCGCUGGUUUCUCUAAAAGAGGUUGCUCCAGCAAGGACCAGGGCUGAGGU
Long non-coding RNA from Oxyura jamaicensis (ruddy duck), 539 nucleotides. RefSeq lists it as uncharacterized. The transcript is spliced from 3 exons. NCBI's taxonomy places the organism in Eukaryota, Metazoa, Chordata, Aves, Anseriformes, Anatidae. The record is from RefSeq and is a predicted model, not a curated record.